This 1519-nucleotide long non-coding RNA is filed under the name Sparus aurata (gilthead seabream). RNAcentral's name for it is "lncRNA (ENSSAUG00010014914.1)". The record is from RNAcentral. Lineage: Eukaryota; Metazoa; Chordata; Actinopteri; Spariformes; Sparidae.
UUGGGCUGGAAUGAACUCUACUCUUUUUUUUGUUUACACAUAUUUUCUCCACCUUGCAGCUCCUUGAUGAUGAAAGGAAGACAUUUCUACCCCACCUUUAAACAAAACAUUUCAUCACAUUUAAUAACACAUUAUUAACGUCAACAAGUAAAAACAUAAUUUCGGCAGCGCAUUUUCUGUCUAUUCAGUAUGGAACAAAAGGACUGGUACAACAAGUUUGUGGGGAUGUGUUCAUAUUGCCAUUAAGUGAGUCACCACUUGUUUUCAUUGUGCAUGAAUGUAUGUACAAGUGUCAGACAUUGUUUGUCUACUCCUAUUAAAAGGAGACGUUCCCCUCGGUCUGACAUCAGUCUCAUCUAGGACCAAGCUGGUGACACAGACGUGAUCUCUUCUUCACCUGGUGAACGUGAACCUCGAAGCUAUGGAUAAGAGAGAAGUCCGCAAAACGAUCAGGGGGCUCUUUAAGAAGAAUGGCGAUGCUGAUGGAAAGAUAAAGAAGGAGGAUUUGAGGAAGCUGUUGGAAGAAGCAUUCGGAAGCCAUGAGAAGAAAGUAAGAAACUCAACACACUCCCUUUACGGGGCACAGUUACGACACAGGUCUAUUCAAAACACACCAACUUGUUCUCCUUCUUCUUCACCAUUCCGAUGCGUUUCGUGCCAUUAAGUGUAAUUAUCUGCUCUCCAGGAUGAAAUCAUUGGCAAGAUCAUGGAUGCAGCCGACAGCGACGAGGUCACCUUGAGGCAGCUGAAGAAAUCCAUGGCUAAAAGCUGCGACCAAGGCAAGGGCCAAGAACAGAGAGAUUCCUUACAUUUGCUAAAGCUUAUUUCUGUGCUGCUGCAACACAGGCAGCACGGAUUGUACUGUUAAACUUGAACUUUGACUUACCUGUUAACUUUAAUCCGACUACAUGUAAUGCACCAUGUUUGCAAAAAUCUUUGAAACAAUUGUAUUAUCCAUUCAUCCUCCGUGUAUGAGAAGCAUUUACUCAUAUUCGCUUUUAAUUAUUCAAAAUCAAUCUAAAUAUUUUUGUCCAUCUACAGGUUGUAAGGAUGAGGAAAUUGAAAAAGCCAUGCUGGACCUCUUUGAGGAGUACGAUGGAGACGAUAGCGGCGCGUUGGAGAAGGCGGAAUUCGAAAAGAUGAUCGAUGAACUACUUGAAAACCAUCCGAAAAAGGAUAAAAUCAAGAGGAGGGCCAUGAAGCGUCUCCAAAGGAGUGACAACAACAUCAGUAAAGAUGAGUUUGAGAAACUCAUGCCACUCAUAAAGAGACUCUACAAGAAAAAACUUGAGGAUCCAGAUUCUGCAGAGGAUGAAUAAACAGAAUUGUUACAGCAAAACCCUCAAGAAUGACCAUCAGAAUGAAUAACAGAAAAACCUGUUUAUUUGAGUUUGGAAAUUGUUUUUUUCAAAGAUGUGUCCAUUCAAUAUUGUCUGAGAAAAAAUAAAAGCAAUGCAAUUGACUCUGAUGUGGGCUCUUUGUCUUUUUACGCACACAACACAAAGCUGGGAAGAAAAAG